CGAAUUUUUUUUCUUUUUCCUAUUAAGCGGGAGGAACGGAGACCAACAGGAGAUUGCCUCUUUUAUUCUUCGAGUGAAAGCGGCAUCAGCUCAGAUUUGAAAUCUGGUUCUUUCAGAGCCCGAGUUGUAAUCUGUAGAGGAGUCUUCGGGUUUGGAUCUGGCCUAAGUUUCUUGGAACAGAACGUCAUAGAGGGUGAGAGUCCCGUAUGAGGCCAGCUACCUAUUCCCAUGUGAAGCUUCUUCGACGAGUCGAGUUGUUUGGGAAUGCAGCUCAAAAUGGGUGGUAAAUUUCAUCUAAAGCUAAAUAUUGGCGGGAGACCGAUAGCGCACAAGUAGAGUGAUCGAAAGAUGAAAAGCACUUUGAAAAGAGAGUUAAAAAGUACGUGAAAUUGUUGAAAGGGAAACGCUUGCGAUUAGACUUGCGCUCAGGUGAUCAACCGGUGUUCUCACCGGUGCACUCUCCUGCUUGCAGGCCAGCAUCGGUUUGGGCGGUUGGAUAAAGGCCCUAGGAAUGUAGCUGCCCUCGGGCAGUGUUAUAGCCUAGGGUGCAAUGCAGCCAGCCUGGACCGAGGACCGCGCUUCGGCUAGGAUGCUGGCAUAAUGGUCGUAAGCGACCCGUCUUGAAACACGGACCAAGGAGUCUAACAUCUAUGCGAGUGUUUGGGUGGAAAACCCAAGCGCGUAAUGAAAGUGAACGUAGGUGAGAACCCUUAAGGGUGCAUCAUCGACCGAUCUUGAUGUCUUCGGAUGGAUUUGAGUAAGAGCAUAGCUGUUGGGACCCGAAAGAUGGUGAACUAUGCCUGAAUAGGGUGAAGCCAGAGGAAACUCUGGUGGAGGCUCGCAGCGGGUUCUGACGUGCAAAUCGAUCGUCAAAUUUGGGGUAUAGGGGCGAAAGACUAAUCGAAACCAUUUUAGUAGCUGGGUUUCAGGCCGAAAGUUUC
This 941-nucleotide ribosomal RNA is filed under the name Ascocorticium anomalum. Its description in RNAcentral is "LSU rRNA". It matches the Rfam family "Eukaryotic large subunit ribosomal RNA", at positions 29 to 971 of the family's 3401-position model. The record is from RNAcentral. Lineage: Eukaryota; Fungi; Ascomycota; Leotiomycetes; Helotiales; Ascocorticiaceae.